This 957-nucleotide long non-coding RNA is filed under the name Glycine max (soybean). Its description in RNAcentral is "long non-coding RNA (GMAX_LNC003755)". Lineage: Eukaryota; Viridiplantae; Streptophyta; Magnoliopsida; Fabales; Fabaceae. The record is from RNAcentral.
AUGGAUUGGUGGUCCCAAAAUAGAAUGCAUGAUUGGGGCGGGUCUGUAAGAAGAGCUUCUUCUAGAACGAACCUUUAAUCAUGACGAACAAGUAAUCAAGAUUACCUUUAUUGGAAGAUCUUCUCGAACGCAUGCUUAAGAUUACGUGAAUGUGGUACAUACCAUAACAUAUUUUUUUAUUUAAAGGAAUUGGAGGAACGGUACCCACUAACAUGGUGCUGGUGAUAUAUGCUUGUAAAAUAUUUUUUUUUAUUUCUCAUUUUGUCUGCGUAUGAUGAUCAUCUUGCACUUGGUGGCUAGUUAUAGUAUCCAAGCUACUUUCAUUUUAAAUCAUUAAGGUCUUCUUUCUAUCUUGACUGCUGGGGAAUCUGAAGUCUGAAAAUUAAGGAUUAAGGUUUUCUUAUUUUUACUUUAUUAAUAUUGUUUUAUUUGCAGGUGAAAAGCUGCUUAAGACCAACUGUAAGAUAUAUGUGUCCUCAAUGGAGUUGGGAUUUUUUCUGCAUAAAUCAUUUAUUUAUGUUAUGCAGGCCCUUUCUAUACAUAGUUGAAUUUAUAGUUUAAUUAGUUUGGUUGAGAAUGUGGAAGUCUACUUUUGGUUGCUUUUGCAGGGGAAUGAAAGUGUCUUUGUUGGUGAAGGGUAGGUGAGAGAAAUGAAAGGUGUGUUGGGUUGAAUAGGUAUAGGAUCAAUGAGCAACAACAAAGCACGAAAGGUGGUGUGUGUGACGGGUGCUUCUAUAUUAAUCUUUUCUAUUAUUAGAAUUUUUCUCUUUUCUAUUAUUUUAUUAGAUUUUUAUUUUUAUUUUUUAAAAAAAGACAUUUUAAAAUGAUUUUUUUGAAAAAUCAUGUUAGAAGGACACUUUUUUUAGAUGAUUUUUUGAAACCUAUCUAAAAUUAAAGACUAUCAACAUUAUUUAUAUGUUGUUUAAAAUUGUCAUGUUUUUUUUGCUGUAGUGAAUC